RNAcentral lists this ribosomal RNA (119 nucleotides) under Pteropus alecto (black flying fox). The record is from RNAcentral. Lineage: Eukaryota; Metazoa; Chordata; Mammalia; Chiroptera; Pteropodidae.
GUUUACGGCCAUGCCACUCUGAACAAGCCCAAUCCCAUCUGAUCUCAGAAGCUAAGCAGGGUUGGGCCUGGUUAGUACUUGGAUGGGAGACCACCUAGGAAGAUCAGGUGCUGUAGGCG